Molecule: ribosomal RNA, 448 nt
Filed under: uncultured bacterium
Lineage: Bacteria
Description: bacterial SSU rRNA
Rfam family: Bacterial small subunit ribosomal RNA
Source: RNAcentral
CGCCAGACUCCUACGGGAGGCAGCAGUGGGGAAUAUUGCACAAUGGGGGAAACCCUGAUGCAGCGACGCCGCGUGAGCGAUGAAGUAUUUCGGUAUGUAAAGCUCUAUCAGCAGGGAAGAAGAUGACGGUACCUGACUAAGAAGCCCCGGCUAACUACGUGCCAGCAGCCGCGGUAAUACGUAGGGGGCAAGCGUUAUCCGGAUUUACUGGGUGUAAAGGGAGCGUAGACGGCGAUGCAAGCCAGAUGUGAAAGCCCGGGGCUCAACCCCGGGACUGCAUUUGAAACUGUCAGGCUGGAGUGCAGGAGAGGUAAGUGGAAUUCCUAGUGUAGCGGUGAAAUGCGUAGAUAUUAGGAGGAACACCAGUGGCGAAGGCGGCUUACUGGACUGUAACUGACGUUGAGGCUCGAAAGCGUGGGGAGCAAACAGGAUUAGAUACCCCCGUAAA